GUUAGGAGGGAAUGGAUUUUGUACAUACAUAUUAGGCGAGAGGGUGAAAUUUUCAAUCACCAAUAGACGAGAAAAAAAAUAAGAGAGAAAGAGGAGAGUGGAGGGAGACAGUGCGUGGGAGCAGGGAAAGAUUCCGUGGUAGAAAUAUUCAAAGCCUCAGCUGGUUUUUCUUUCUCUUCUUCUCCCCAUUAACCUGCAUUCAAUUUGUCUGUUAUAUUUUGAUUUUGAAAACCCUAGAUCUCCCGAUCCUCUCAUUCUUUUCAAUCGCUCUUCCUUCUCUUACCUGAAUCUUCAAAGGAAUAAAGGUUUCCAUCUCUCACUUGUUUCUCUUGGAAGCCCAUCUGCUUUUGUUCCCUUUUGAUUUCACCAUUAAAUCGUUGCUGUCUCCAGUUGCGAUGAAGUGAAUUUCUUGGAAAUUUUAGAUGGCUUCAUCCUUGGUGUAUUAUUUCCCAUUUAAUAUAUGGUUCUACUCACCUUUUCUAGUUUCAGGUUUUAUUUAUGCAUCCUUGCGUUGGGAACAAUCUUCGUUUAGGUCGUAAGAUUGUUGGGGUUCAUUUGGAGAGAUCUCUCUUGAUACAGAGCAGAAGGUGACUUGGAUAAGAGGAGCUAUUUGAAGGAAGCUGCUGCCUUUGAAAAACUAAUAGCCCCUUCGGAAUUCCACCAGAAAGUUGAUGACUAGAAAAAAGAGAAUUUCCAGACAACAACCCCUUCAAGAAAAGAAAAGUUGAUUUUCUGGAACAAAUGCAAACCACCACUGAACAACCUUCAAAGGUGAUGGGUACUGAAGAAUCAGAUAAGGUUAUAUAGAAAGGAGAGUUUCUCAAAAAACCAUUCAAGAAAGAACUUGAUUCUCAGUUGGAGCAGAGGCAGACAACCAGAGUUUCUCAAAAACUUAUUCAAGAAAGUAUAGUUUCUCAAAAACCCAUUCAAGAAAGUAAAACUAGAUUCUUAGUUGGAGCAGAGACAGACAACCACUAAACAAGUUUCAGAGGUGAUAGAUGUAGAUGACUUGGAUGAGAUGAGUGCUACCCCAGAAUCCCAAAAGACCGUAAAGGCUAAGCCAGUGACUGGUCAUCCCUAAUAAGACAAAAUGACAUAAGAAGAGAUUAAAUAGUAAGAUGAGUUGCAAGAGUUCUGAGUGUAGGAAUAAUAGCACUCUUACUUUCUUUACUCGAUUGUAGUAAUUAUUCACCAAUUUUUAUGGGUAUUUUACAUCAGUUUUGACAUUGAUUUUAUGUAUAGCUUCACUGAAGCUUCACCA
Molecule: long non-coding RNA, 1261 nt
Organism: Macadamia integrifolia
Lineage: Eukaryota; Viridiplantae; Streptophyta; Magnoliopsida; Proteales; Proteaceae
Exons: 2
Source: RefSeq, a predicted model, not a curated record